GAGAGAGAGAGAGAGAGAGAGAGAGAGAGAGAGAGAGAGAGAGAGAGAAGGAGGGGGAGAGCCCGGGUAUAAAGGGAGGGAGACGUGAUCGGAGAGAGAUAGAGAGCUCAGGAUGAACCACCGAGGAUCAAUGAUCAGCUGCUGCUGCCUGGCGCUGCUCGUGCUCGCGGCCGCGGCUCAGGAGCCCUGCCGCGCGGCCACGUGCAGCCAGGAGCUUCCCGCUGAUUUUGUGAGAGAAGUGUGGAGGAAAACGAAGGACCUGAUCAGCUCUCUGCCGAAUGAAGACUCCGGGCGCUUAAGACUGCUCCCUUUCUACUGCACCAACACGUCUAUCUGCCCUCAGUGUCUGGGCUGGUCUGAGGUUGGUCAUGUGAUCAGGGUUUACCAGAAGAGAGUCUUUCGUAGGGAUGUCAUCAAGAAGCUCCUCCCGGACCACUUCCAUGCACUCCUGCAUCGCCUCGACAAAACCCUACACGACUGUGCUCAGUGUCCGAAACGCUCCAAAGAAGUCCUUCAGUUUGAGAAGAAAAUCAAGAGGUUCCUGAGGAAGAGGAGGGAGGAAGGUGUGUUCAAGGCGGUGAGAGAGUUCCCCUUCGUCCUCCGAUGGGUCGAUGAGUUGAGGGAAACUCUUCAUCAUUGUUCCUGAUGAGGGGGACUCCAGAGUCCCUGAUGAUGAAUCAUUCAAUCUAUUUAUUUUAUUAGGUUUUAAAAAGCAGUAUUCAAUAUUUUUUUAUUUAUUUUAUUUAAUUGUCAAUGAAUAAAUUAUUAUUUUUAUCGGUUCUGUAUUUAAAAGUUUUGAUACAAUACAAUUUUAUAUGAAAUACAUGCUGUUGUCUCCUUCUUCUGGCAGAACUUUGCCACUACAAGUUAUACUACAGUUUUUGCCCGUUGCUUGAACCCGUUUUGCAAAACUUUGAAACUCAACACACAAGCAAAUAAGACACAACACUUAGAAAUAUACCAUUCACAUCUGCGUCAAAUUGAAACUCUGCUAUCGAAACCUAACACUCCUUUGUCAAAAUGUCACUGAUGACAAAAUGAUACACACUAGACUUUCGGAUCAGCAGCAAUGUACUAGUCUACUUUACAUUAAACACUGC
Long non-coding RNA from Gadus morhua (Atlantic cod), 1100 nucleotides. Lineage: Eukaryota; Metazoa; Chordata; Actinopteri; Gadiformes; Gadidae. The record is from Ensembl.